AGCGCAGGCGGGAAGACAAGUUGGAAGUGAAAUCUAUGGGCUCAACCCAUAAACUGCUUUCAAAACUGUUUUUCUUGAGUAGUGCAGAGGUAGGCGGAAUUCCCGGUGUAGCGGUGGAAUGCGUAGAUAUCGGGAGGAACACCAGUGGCGAAGGCGGCCUACUGGACACCAACUGACGCUGAGGCUCGAAAGUGUGGGUAGCAAACA
Molecule: ribosomal RNA, 207 nt
Filed under: uncultured bacterium
Lineage: Bacteria
Description: partial 16S ribosomal RNA
Rfam family: Bacterial small subunit ribosomal RNA
Source: RNAcentral